UAGGCGCCAGCGCUAGCCCUGCCCGAGGUCCAUGGGAGUUCGGUCCCUCCCACCCUGCGUGGCGGCUUGCGCACUUGCCGCGUUAAGGUGUGGCUGGAGGGUCAGCCUGCGGUGUGUGUCGGACGCAUCAGCAAUGAGGCCCUGACCCCUGCAGGCUGGGCGGCCUCCCCAGCGCCCUCCCCGAAACUGUUUCGUUAGGAUGGCCUGACUGACGUCUUCAACUGAGGUAACCAGCUGGUGUUAGCAGAACAAAUCCCUCCCCUUCUCUCCCUGAGGCCAUCCAUCCUGGCUGAGGAACCAGCUGGAGGGAGCCAAGAAAGAAGCCACGCAGAGCCUGGAGUGUGGUGCUGGAGAGGGUAGAGAAGUCAGCCAAAGCUGCGCCUUGCAGAACAUGGCCCACCUCUUCACGAGAGAGGAUGCUGCUGCUCCGGAACCGCACAAACUGGCCCAGGGAGAGAAGGCCCAAACAUGUAGUGAUUCGGCAUCUCCUUCAUUCACAGGUAUUUGCUGUGCCCUGCCGGGCUCAGCACUGGGCUGGGGGCAUGGAUCUGAAGCCCACAGAACUCUGCCUUCAAGAGCUCAGUGUUGGUAGGCAGGGGUGGGGUUGUGUCACAGGAGGGUGAGGUAAUGAGGAGGAUUGCAAGACCCUGAGAGUUUGCUCUGCUGACCCCUUCAGUCCCGCCACUCGUACCGUGCCCCUCACACUAGACUAUGUGUGGUUACCCAGACACACCACCACAUUCUCGUAUAUCUGCUGUUCUCACUUCAAUACUGUACCUGCAAUACUUUUCCUUCUCUUUGCCUAUUAAUCCUUCAAGCCUCAGCUAAAAUGUUACCUUCACUGCUGAAUGUUUUCAUUUUAUUUAAGAAAUACAGGCAUUAACUGGGUGCUUACUAUAUUCUUACUCACUUCUCCCUCACAGCUCUGGCAGAAGCAAUUACUCUUUCUCGGGUUCCUACACCAACCAUUGAUUUAUUCAUUGAUCCACUUUACUAUCAUUCACAGGCUUGCUGCCUUGUUUUUUCAGUGGGCACUUACCAUGUUCUAGGCACUUAGCAUUAUCUUCUACUCUUCCAUUAAUAACCAUAUUUUAACUAUGAAUUUCCUUGUCUAUCUCCUUCUCUAGACUGAGGGACCUUUAAGGAAGAACAUUUGGCUCACUGACAUCUUUGGUACCUAGCACAGGAUCUGGCAGGUGGUGGGCAGGCCUGGUCAAUGUUUCAUGAGUGAAUGAGAAAAAAUGUCUGGGUAGUCUGGGCAAAGGAGAUGUGGGCAUUCAGAGGAAUUCUCUAGGCAGGCUUCUUGUAGGGUGAAGGCUCAUCCAGCCCCUCUACCUUCUUGGAGGAUGGCAUUCUUCAGACCACAGGACCAUCCUUUCUGCACUUACCAGGGUCAUGAGCCUCAAGAUCUCAGCUCUGAGGAAGGAAUUCUCUCCAGCAUCCAGGAGGGUAAAUAGCAAAAACCGAUUCCAGGGCUGGGAGGCCACAUGGAGUGCUAUGGGAAACACCAGUCAACCGUGUGUUAUUAAUGCUGCUUUUCCAAAGGCCUUGGAACAUUGCUAAAGAAAACUUUCUCCUAUUGGCUCAAAAAAGGGUUGCUCAGCAAAGGCAGGGCAUUGGACAAGCUGACCCCGGGGCGUUUCUUUCUCCUGGGCUUCUAUCCACCCAUGCUGCCUGGCACAGGGAGACCACAUAUCCCACUAUUGUGGGAGGCAGGCAACAGGAAGAGCUCUGCCACUUAAGAGCUAUGGGACCUUGGUUGGGGCAAGUUGCUUAACCUCCCUGAACCUCGGUGUCCUCAUCUGUAUGAUGGGCAUGGCAGUGCCCUUGCAGUAUUGUUAAAAGAAUUAAACAAAAUGAGUGUGAAUCAGGGAGCUCCCUGGUGGCCUAAUGGUUAGGAUUCUGGGCUUUCACUGCCAUGGCCUGGGUUCAAUCCCUGGUUGGGGAACUGAGAUCCUGCAAGCCACAUGGCUCGGCCAAAAAAAAUGAGUGUGAAUCACAGAACAGAGGAUGGGAGUCUGGGGUGGGAGGGUGGCAGGUGCUGGCCCCGUCCAAUCUCCCCCAUGGGAACAUCAGAGAAUGGGGAGGGUUUCUACCGACGUCUGGACUCCGGGCAUGCAGGUAGUCAAGCAAGGCCUCCAGGCAGCCGACACAGGCGUGGGACAACAGAGGGUCCUUCUGCAAGAAAACAACAAAAACAAAAACCCCACAGAAGUUUACGUCCGGUUUUGCUACCAGUGGAUUUUGGUGCCAACCAAGAAAAAAACAUUUGGUUUUCAAAACAAUUUAGAUUUCAGAAUUUCAGAUUUGGGAUUGUGGCUCUGUAGAUAAUCAAGAAAUGUUUGUUGGUUUCAUCUCUCACCCACACACACAAAGCACGGUGCUUAUACUGAUGAUUUACCUACAUCUGAGAGACUGUUUUGCUUCAGAAAAGGAUGCGCCCUGGGCCCCGUUAAGAGAUUCACAGAUUACAGAUUCUGUAAGAGCCACACAGUUUAUCUAAGCCAAUGCAUGUAAAUCUUUUUGUAAAGCAGCAGAACCUUUCAUCAAACAAAAUUUUAUGCUCUAAUAAGCAUAAGAAAAGAACUUAGGGUUAGGGAGAUGCAAAUUAAAACCACCUUGAGAUACCACUACACACUCAUCAACAGCUAAAACUGACAGUACCAAGUGUUGGCAAGAAUGUGAAGCAACUGGAACUCUCAUGCACUCCUGAUGGGAAGGAAAAAUGGUGCAGCCACUGAUGGCAGUCUG
This is a long non-coding RNA of Delphinapterus leucas (beluga whale), 2751 nucleotides long. RefSeq lists it as uncharacterized. The record is from RefSeq and is a predicted model, not a curated record. Lineage: Eukaryota; Metazoa; Chordata; Mammalia; Artiodactyla; Monodontidae.